GGACUACUGGGGUAUCUAAUCCCGUUUGCUCCCCUGGCUUUCGCGCCUCAGCGUCAGAAGAGGUCCAGCGCGCCGCUUUCGCCACCGGUGUUCCUUCCGAUAUCUACGCAUUUCACCGCUCCACCGGAAGUUCCGCACGCCCCUACCUCCCUCGAGGCCCGCAGUAUCAGAGGCACUGCCACGGUUGAGCCGUGGGAUUUCACCCCUGACUGGCGGGCCCGCCUACGCGCCCUUUAAGCCCAGUGAUUCCGAACAACGUUCGCACGGUUCGUCUUACCGCGGCUGCUGGCAC
Molecule: ribosomal RNA, 292 nt
Filed under: uncultured bacterium
Lineage: Bacteria
Also listed under: 2 other names
Description: partial 16S ribosomal RNA
Source: RNAcentral